UGGUGAGAAGCACAUGAGGUAUGUGCGGCGGCCUGUUAAGCCGAGGGUAGUGGGUUCGAAUCCCACCUCGCCAGCCA
This 77-nucleotide transfer RNA is filed under the name Erwinia phage Zoomie. RNAcentral's name for it is "tRNA-Asn". It matches the Rfam family "tRNA". Rfam says of the family: Transfer RNA (tRNA) molecules are approximately 80 nucleotides in length. Their secondary structure includes four short double-helical elements and three loops (D, anti-codon, and T loops). Further hydrogen bonds mediate the characteristic L-shaped molecular structure. tRNAs have two regions of fundamental functional importance: the anti-codon, which is responsible for specific mRNA codon recognition, and the 3' end, to which the tRNAs corresponding amino acid is attached (by aminoacyl-tRNA synthetases). tRNAs cope with the degeneracy of the genetic code in two manners: having more than one tRNA (with a specific anti-codon) for a particular amino acid; and 'wobble' base-pairing, i.e. permitting non-standard base-pairing at the 3rd anti-codon position. The record is from RNAcentral. Lineage: Duplodnaviria; Heunggongvirae; Uroviricota; Caudoviricetes; Autographivirales; Autoscriptoviridae.